UCGGGAAUUUUGGGCAAUGGGGGAAACCCUGACCCAGCAACGCCGCGUGAAGGAUGAAGUAUUUCGGUAUGUAAACUUCGAAAGAAUAGGAAGAAUUAAUGACGGUACUAUUUAUAAGGUCCGGCUAACUACGUGCCAGCAGCCGCGGUAAUACGUAGGGACCAAGCGUUGUUCGGAUUUACUGGGCGUAAAGGGCGCGUAGGCGGCAUGGUAAGUCACUUGUGAAAUCUCCGAGCUUAACUCGGAACGGCCAAGUGAUACUGCUGAGCUAGAGUGCAGAAGGGGCAAUCGGAAUUCUUGGUGUAGCGGUGAAAUGCGUAGAUAUCAAGAGGAACACCUGAGGUGAAGACGGGUUGCUGGGCUGACACUGACGCUGAGGCGCGAAAGCUAGGGGAGCAAACG
This 402-nucleotide ribosomal RNA is filed under the name uncultured bacterium. RNAcentral describes it as "bacterial SSU rRNA". It matches the Rfam family "Bacterial small subunit ribosomal RNA", at positions 355 to 774 of the family's 1533-position model. The record is from RNAcentral.